UACGGGGGGAGCAAGCGUUGUUCGGAUUUACUGGGCGUAAAGAGCGUGUAGGCGGCCAGACAGGUCCGUUGUGAAAACUCGAGGCUCAACCUCGAGAUGUCGAUGGAAACCGUCUGGCUAGAGUCCGGAAGAGGAGUGUGGAAUUCCUGGUGUAGCGGUGAAAUGCGCAGAUAUCAGGAAGAACACCUAUGGCGAAGGCAGCACUCUGGGACGGUACUGACGCUGAGACGCGAAAGCGUGGGGAGCGAACAGG
This 253-nucleotide ribosomal RNA is filed under the name uncultured bacterium. RNAcentral's name for it is "partial 16S ribosomal RNA". It matches the Rfam family "Bacterial small subunit ribosomal RNA", at positions 524 to 776 of the family's 1533-position model. The record is from RNAcentral.